GAAGGUUUCCAAGGGAGACGAAUGAAGGAUGAGGACCCCAGAUGGGUCAGAGGAGGCGCUCUGGGCAGGACACGCUGGGAAUCUGCCUGGAGAUGGAAUUAUUAUGCAUUAACUGAGGACCAACCCCAUGACAGCUUGCCCUCUUCUGCCCGUGGAAAGAUGUCAGGACUCACACAGGGACACGUCCUGUCUUGCGUCUGCCACUGCUCCCUGGGUCACCCGGGUCCUCUGAUAAGGCCCCUGUGUGUGACUGGACCAGAACCACGUCCGGAACCAUGUCCGCCAGCUCCCCUGCUGUGUGUCUCGGUGGGGAGAGUAGCAUGUGCGGCCCGUGCCUGGGCCCACACAAGGUCAAUACCCACGUGGGCCCUGGGCUGCCACAGUGGACAGAGCAGGUUCAGCCUGUGUGAGCACGAAGGCAGGCGGAGAAAGGAAGGGAGCGAGUGACCAGGUGGACAGCGGAGGCAUGAAGCUUCCAGCUUCCAUCCAGCCACACGGGAGGUGCUUAGAAAAUGGUCAGUGGAAUCUGCAUGGCUGGUGCCCAGUUGCCUGCAUCCCAGGAGGUCCCCUAGCAUUGGCUCUUCUGGGACCCGGGUCCCAGGGCUCUGUGUAAGAUGGUCAGUCUGCAUCAUCUGCGUUUUCUAGGUGCCCUUGGGUUGGCUCCAGAGCCAUUCGUGAUAGCACGACCCAGGCCACCCGAGGCAGACGCGUCUGUAACAUUUAGAUCCUUUCUUGGGAGGCUGUGGCUUCCACAAUUGAGUAAGCAUCAAAGUAAAGGUUAUUUCCAACCCCACAGUUAAAUCGACGUGGUGAUAUAUUGGCCUGAUGACUCCUUUUACAAAAUUAUCUCUGAAAUGUUAUGUUUUCAUUCCACAAGACUCAUUCCAGCUCAGUUCCUCCUUGACCUUUAUCACCUACUCUGCAGAAUGCAUGCACCCAUCCACGGUUCUGGAAGCUUCUCCAGGCAUCCGACCUGCAGUGCCCCUUUCUGACCUGAUCUGUGGGUGGGGAGCAGGCGGGGGCGUGGGGUUCUGAUUGACAGGUGUUGUCCACCCACUCAGAGGAGCCCCGGGCCCCUCCACCCGUCCGGCUGCUCCAGGUGUUUGGGAAGCACCCGGGCCUGACCUGCUGUCAGCCUCCCACACGGCAGGUGUUCUCCCCAGGGGCAGCUGGCAGCGGGUGGGCGCCAAGGAUGGUGAUGAAAAUCGCCCUGGGGCUUUCCCACACUCACCGAAGACGUUGCUACAGAGAAGUUAGAGCUGCUCUGUGUACGUGUCCCCUGUGGGGGCCUCUAAUUAAGGCUCCACUGACGGCCUCAGAGGCUGGGACGGGUUCCCCUGUGUUCAGGCCAGGAGAGCGGGAGGCCCAGCAGGAAGGAGCUGAGACACACCCCCACUUGUCUAUAGGGGUGUCUCAGCUCUGGGCUCCAGCCCCUCAGCUCAGCCCCAUCCUCACCCCCUGGGGGAACUGGA
This 1472-nucleotide long non-coding RNA is filed under the name Bos indicus x Bos taurus (hybrid cattle). RNAcentral's name for it is "lncRNA (ENSBIXG00000013121.1)". Lineage: Eukaryota; Metazoa; Chordata; Mammalia; Artiodactyla; Bovidae. The record is from RNAcentral.